RNAcentral lists this ribosomal RNA (502 nucleotides) under uncultured bacterium. RNAcentral describes it as "bacterial SSU rRNA". It matches the Rfam family "Bacterial small subunit ribosomal RNA", at positions 62 to 543 of the family's 1533-position model. The record is from RNAcentral.
UCGAACGCGAAAGGGGCUUCGGCCCUGAGUAGAGUGGCGAACGGGUGAGUAACACGUGGGUGAUCUACCUCUGAGUGGGGGAUAACGUUCCGAAAGGAGCGCUAAUACCGCAUGACGUCCCGGGUUUGAAGACCUGGACACCAAAGUCGGGGACCGCAAGGCCCGGCGCUUGGAGAGGAGCCCGCGCCUGAUUAGCUAGUUGGUGAGGUCACGGCUCACCAAGGCGACGAUCAGUAGCCGGCCUGAGAGGGCGGACGGCCACACUGGGACUGAGACACGGCCCAGACUCCUACGGGAGGCAGCAGUGGGGAAUUGUUCGCAAUGGGCGCAAGCCUGACGACGCAACGCCGCGUGGAGGAUGAAGGUCUUCGGAUUGUAAACCCCUGUUGACCGGGAAGAAUGGGCCCUGACCUAACACGUCGGGGCAAUGACGGUACCGGUUGAGGAAGCCACGGCUAACUCUGUGCCAGCAGCCGCGGUAAUACAGAGGUGGCAAGCGUUG